This is a long non-coding RNA of Oryza brachyantha (malo sina), 666 nucleotides long. RefSeq lists it as uncharacterized. The transcript is spliced from 4 exons. The record is from RefSeq and is a predicted model, not a curated record. NCBI's taxonomy places the organism in Eukaryota, Viridiplantae, Streptophyta, Magnoliopsida, Poales, Poaceae.
CUCUUCUGUUUUCAUCCAAUUUAAAGGGCCGGAGACCGGAGACCGGAGACCUGCAACUGCAAGUCUUCGUCUUUCUCAUCUCGCCGGUCGCCGGAGAGGAGGUAGCUAACCAGCCGGAGAUCCGACAUGAGCGAUAGUAAUCCUCCAGGCUACUUCAUCGGCCGUCCGGCGAACCACGAAGAACAGCAGGCUUCACGGCCCGUUGAGGAACAGAACGCUCAGAUCCCUGGCUACUACAGUGGUCAUCCCCUAAGACCUAAUGGUACCAAUGAACAAGCGAAGAAACCGAGCUUCUUCGAGAGACUCUUUGGGUGCUUCUCUAGCAGGCGAAAUGCGAACUAGAUCGGCGCGGCUGUGAUCGCAAUUUCAACGUAUGGUUCAUCGAGAAAUCGAAGGGAAUUUGGAUGGUGUGAAGUCCCUCAUUUGUGUCAGGAACUACGAUCCUGUUUAUUCCAAAGAUUUUUCAUGUUCGGUGUUUACAUUGUUGUAUAUUGUGUAUUCAGAGAAAUGAGAUUAUUCCGUGUGAUACAUUAGUGUUUUGCUUACGGAAUUGGAUCGAUGAAUUUCUAAUGUGGUUAUUGGUCUCCCUAAAAGGGGUAUUUUACUGUAAACUUUUUUUUUACAAGAAAAGGGCCAUAUGAAUAUGACAACUCUGAACUUUCAUAA